CCCAGACUCCUACGGGAGGCAGCAGUGGGGAAUAUUGCGCAAUGGGCGAAAGCCUGACGCAGCGACGCCGCGUGAGGGAUGAAGGUCUUCGGAUCGUAAACCUCUGUCAGCAGGGAAGAAAAUGACGGUACCUGACUAAGAAGCCCCGGCUAACUACGUGCCAGCAGCCGCGGUAAUACGUAGGGGGCAAGCGUUAUCCGGAUUUACUGGGUGUAAAGGGAGCGUAGACGGCUGCGCAAGUCAGAAGUGAAAGCCCGGGGCUCAACCGCGGGACUGCUUUUGAAACUGUGUAGCUAGAGUGCAGGAGAGGUAAGUGGAAUUCCUAGUGUAGCGGUGAAAUGCGUAGAUAUUAGGAGGAACACCGGCGGCGAAGGCGGCCUACUGGACUGUAACUGACGUUGAGGCUCGAAAGCGUGGGGAGCAAACAGGAUUAGAUACCCUGGUA
RNAcentral lists this ribosomal RNA (445 nucleotides) under uncultured bacterium. RNAcentral's name for it is "bacterial SSU rRNA". It matches the Rfam family "Bacterial small subunit ribosomal RNA", at positions 330 to 792 of the family's 1533-position model. The record is from RNAcentral.